GACGAACGCUGGCGGCGUGCUUAACACAUGCAAGUCGAACGGAAAGGCCCUGCUUUUGCGGGGUUCUCGUGUGGCGAACGGGUGAGUAACACGUGAGUAACCUGCCCUUGACUUUGGGAUAACUUUAGGAAACUGGGGCUCUUACCGCAUAGGAGCUCCUGCUGCAUGGUGGGGGUUGGAAAGUUUCGGCGGUUGGGGCUGGACUCGCGGCUUAUCAGCUUGUUGGUGGGGUAGUGGCUUACCAAGGGUUUGACGGCUAGCCGGCCUGAGAGGGUGGACGGCCACAUUGGGACUGCGAUACGGACCAGACUGCUACGGUCGGCAGCAGUGGGGAGCAUUACACAGUGGGCGGGAGUCUGAUGCGGCGGCGCCGCGUGCGGGAUGACGGCCUUCGAGUUGUAAACAGCUUUCGCCUGUGACGAAGAGUGAGUGACGGUACUGGGUAAGAAAGCACCGGCUAACUACGUG
RNAcentral lists this ribosomal RNA (468 nucleotides) under uncultured bacterium. RNAcentral's name for it is "partial 16S ribosomal RNA". It matches the Rfam family "Bacterial small subunit ribosomal RNA", at positions 28 to 507 of the family's 1533-position model. The record is from RNAcentral.